AGUACACAUAGAUUUGAAUCUGGCUCCUUCGGGGUCCGCAUUGUAAUUUGCAGAGGAUGCUUCGGGUGCGGCCCCUGUCUAAGUGCCCUGGAACGGGCCGUCAGAGAGGGAGAGAAUCCCGUCUGGGAUGGGGUGUCCGCGCCCGUGUGAAGCUCCUUCGACGAGUCGAGUUGUUUGGGAAUGCAGCUCUAAAUGGGUGGUAAAUUUCAUCUAAAGCUAAAUACUGGCCGGAGACCGAUAACAAACAAGA
This 250-nucleotide ribosomal RNA is filed under the name Trichophyton eriotrephon. Its description in RNAcentral is "partial large subunit ribosomal RNA". It matches the Rfam family "Eukaryotic large subunit ribosomal RNA", at positions 106 to 349 of the family's 3401-position model. Lineage: Eukaryota; Fungi; Ascomycota; Eurotiomycetes; Onygenales; Arthrodermataceae. The record is from RNAcentral.